GGUCCCUAAGGCACAAACCUGAGAUGGAUCAUGCUACUAUUGACCGCUUGGUUCUCCAUAUCUCAGAAGCAUGGCUUGAUGAGCGGGUGCAAAUGAAACUGGCAGAAGCUCAAAAUGAUCUUACAGAAAAGAAUACAAUUGUUGACAAGUUAAGUCUAGAUAUAGAAACCUUUCUCGAAGCUCGACACUCCAAUGAAUUGAAGAAAGAUGGUAAUUUUGUUAACGAGGCAAUAAAAAAUUGCGCACGGCGGG
This 252-nucleotide unclassified non-coding RNA is filed under the name Hevea brasiliensis (rubber tree). Lineage: Eukaryota; Viridiplantae; Streptophyta; Magnoliopsida; Malpighiales; Euphorbiaceae. The record is from RNAcentral.